AUUGAACGCUGGCGGCAGGCCUAACACAUGCAAGUCGAACGGUAACAGAAAGCAGCUUGCUGCUUUGCUGACGAGUGGCGGACGGGUGGGUAAUGUCUGGGAAACUGCCUGAUGGAGGGGGAUAACUACUGGAAACGGUAGCUAAUACCGCAUAACGUCGCAAGACCAAAGAGGGGGACCUUCCGGCCUCUUGCCAUCGGAUGUGCCCAGAUGGGGUUAGCUUGUUGGUGGGGUAACGGCUCACCAAGGCGACGAUCCCUAGCUGCUCUGAGAGGCUGACAAGCCCCACUGGAACUGCGCCACGGUCCACACCCCUCCGGGAGGCCGCCGCGGGGAAUAUUGCACACUGGGCGCCAGCCUGAUGCCGCCAUGCCGCGUGUAUGAAGAAGGCCUUCGAGUUGUAAAGUACUUUCAGCGGGGAGGAAGAGAGUAAAGUUCAUACCUUCGCUCAUUGACGUUACCCGCAGAAGAAGCAACGGCUAACUCCGUG
This 490-nucleotide ribosomal RNA is filed under the name uncultured bacterium. RNAcentral's name for it is "partial 16S ribosomal RNA". It matches the Rfam family "Bacterial small subunit ribosomal RNA", at positions 30 to 507 of the family's 1533-position model. The record is from RNAcentral.